This 253-nucleotide ribosomal RNA is filed under the name uncultured bacterium. RNAcentral's name for it is "partial 16S ribosomal RNA". It matches the Rfam family "Bacterial small subunit ribosomal RNA", at positions 524 to 776 of the family's 1533-position model. The record is from RNAcentral.
UACGGGGGGGGCAAGCGUUGUUCGGAAUUACUGGGCGUAAAGGGUUCGUAGGCGGAUCUUUAAGUCAGGGGUGAAAUCCCAAGGCUCAACCUUGGAACUGCCUUUGAUACUGGGGAUCUCGAGUCCGGAAGAGGUGAGUGGAACUGCGAGUGUAGAGGUGAAAUUCGUAGAUAUUCGCAAGAACACCAGUGGCGAAGGCGGCUCACUGGUCCGGUACUGACGCUGAGGUGCGAAAGCGUGGGGAGCAAACAGG